RNAcentral lists this long non-coding RNA (761 nucleotides) under Phascolarctos cinereus (koala). Its description in RNAcentral is "lncRNA (ENSPCIG00000011984.2)". The record is from RNAcentral. Lineage: Eukaryota; Metazoa; Chordata; Mammalia; Diprotodontia; Phascolarctidae.
CGUUCUUUGCCUGUCAUAAACUAAUGGGAAACAGUAAUUUUCUUCCAGGGAUGGAGGGAAGAGAAAGAAUAGAAGGAAAAAGUGACAUGAAAACACUGAAGAAGCUACCUUGAGUUGCUGAAACAGGUCUCUGGGUAGACCCUUGCCUCCUCAGUUAUCACUAACACCAGCUGCAUCUCUGCUAUCUAUCAUAGCCAACUCUGCCUUCUUAACCAUCAGUCUUUUGGGAAGGCACCACUGAGGUUCAUUGCCUUUAACAUUGCUGAUCCACUCUGGAGUCUUUGUUGAUGUUCCCAGAAGCUCUUUCUGCUGCUUCUGCUUUGGGUGUUGGCCCUGGAGCAGCAUGAGCCGGAAUUCCAGAUGAGGCCCACAGACACCCCUGGACAUCCCCCACGCAUCACAAUGACCCCACUAGGGUGGCACGUGUAUGACCAGACACUGCAGCUCCUGCAGUUACACCAUCUGCCCCUCCCGGCUCCAGCUGGCCUUUCCUCUUUCCUCACUCCUUUCCAUUACCAUUCAGUAGAGGCUGUUUCAAGCAGAUGCACCAGGCAUCCUUAUACACCGUGGUGAAAGUGGUGCCAACGCAGCUAGCUACCGCUCAACCCAGCUGCUUCCUGCACUAUAGGAGCAGCCCGCAGGAAUCUCCCAUAAACUGUGUGAGAAUCCACUCAUGCCCCCUUCACCUCCUCUCGGCAAGUACUCUGUGUACCUUCUAUUCCAUUCUCCCGAUCGUAUUGAUACUGCCUCAGUUAAAGUAG